This is a long non-coding RNA of Hipposideros armiger (great roundleaf bat), 593 nucleotides long. RefSeq lists it as uncharacterized. The transcript is spliced from 2 exons. The record is from RefSeq and is a predicted model, not a curated record. NCBI's taxonomy places the organism in Eukaryota, Metazoa, Chordata, Mammalia, Chiroptera, Hipposideridae.
CCGGCCGCACAGCCUCCGGCCCCGCCCUCAGGCUCCGCCUCCAGCUGCCGGGAUGAGGAGACAGACGGUCCCCAGACCCUGCGCCAGCCAGCGGCCCGCUUUCGCCCCCGGCGGGAUAUCCGGCCUUUCGGCUCCCGCAAGAUGGCGGCGGCUGUGCGUAUUUGUGAUUUUGUUUUCCUAAACUCACAGGCAGAGGCCUUUAGUCUUUCCGCCCAGCAGCUUCGUGUGAAUUAUGUUUAUAGCAGAGUUUAAAUGCAAGGACUUAGAAUCAGACUUGGGUGAGAAUCCCACCUUCCGCCUUUCCUAAGGCAAUGUGACCUUGACUUGACUAAAAUAGAGAUUAAAAUGUCUGUAAAGCUUGAGCAUUGUGCUUGUUUUCGAAUAAGCUCCCAGUCCCUGACCGUGUUUCUAUUGUGGGGGAAACCACAUGCAUAACUUCUCCAUUUAUCAAGAGGAAACUGAUUGUAUUGGUGGAAAGAUACCAAAUACAGCAGUUCCAAGAACUUAUCGGUGACAGUUCAGUGAGGACGUGCAGAGCUCUAUUUUGAAACCAGGAAGAAUCCUGUACUUGAAUUAAACUUUUGGAAUCAGAA